This is a non-coding RNA of Macaca mulatta (Rhesus monkey), 543 nucleotides long. The record is from RefSeq and is a predicted model, not a curated record. Lineage: Eukaryota; Metazoa; Chordata; Mammalia; Primates; Cercopithecidae.
UUCCUUCCUGACUGUCUGAAGAUAGGCCGCCAUCAUGAACGGCACCGUAACUAUCCACACUAGAAAGUUCAUGACCAACCGACUACUUCAGAGGAAACAAAUGGUCAUUGUUGUCCUUCACCCCGGGACGGCAAUGGUGCCUAAGACAGAAAUUCGGGAAAAACUAGCCAAAAUGUACAAGACCACACCGGAUGUCAUCUUUGUAUUUGGAUUCAGAACUCAUUUUGGUGGUGGCAAGACAACUGGCUUUGGCAUGAUUUAUGACUCCCUGGAUUAUGCAAAGAAAAAUGAACCCAAACAUAGACUUGCAAGACAUGGCCUGUAUGAGAAGAAAAAGACCUCAAGAAAGCAAUGAAAGGAAUGCAAGAACAGAAUGAAGAGUCAGGGGGACUGCAAAGGCCAAUGUUGGUGCUGGCAAAAAGUGAGCUGGAGAUUGGAUCACAGCCAAAGGAGUAAAGGUGCUGCAGUAAAGGCUACCUGUGUCCAUUUUGGAUUUUUCACGAGCAGAUUAAUAAACUAAAAACUUUCAAAAAAAAAAAAAAA